ACUUCCUUCAAUUUUGAUUUUCUAUACACAUCUUCCUCCUUUUUUUUUUACUUUAAGAACUUCAUAACCUAAUAUGCUUUUGAGGGUGAUUGAUGUUGUAUGGAUUUGUUAAGAAGAUUGAAAGAUGUUGGUAAGGGUGAUUGAUUACUGUAAGAAGCAUGUCGAGAAUCCUAUGAGAUGGUUGUUCUGAUGAUAAUGAAUUUGUUAAAAUCGAUUAGCCUACCUUGUUCUAUUUUAUCCAAUGAGGGCUCUAGAGUAAACAAUGAGGUGAAGUUGUUGUUAGGUUGAACUUUGAUGAACUGAGAAAUUAAGAAUGUCAUGGAGCUGAGAAUGAUACAAAUUUGUGAUGUUUUUAGCUGAUUCUUGAGCUAAGAAUUCAGAGAAGAAAGAGUCUGGUAAAACUAAGCUCACUAUAUUUUUUGGUACUCAGACUGGUAUUGCUGAAGGAUUUGCUAAGGUAUUGGCAGAAGAAAUUAAGGAAAAGUACAAGAAAGCAUUUAUUAAAGUAGUUGACCUGGUAAGUGUUGCAUGAAUUGUUGUCUGCAACUUAUGAAAUGCCUGCUGAUUACAGUUCGAUUUCAAGUCUUAUUAAGAAAUCUAGAAAUGACGAGGAGAACCAAACUAGGGUUUCUGUUGCGACGAUGUCUUUAGGUGAUGAAAAUUCACAUGAAAUUGAUGGGGAUUUGCAUAGUAGACAACUUGUUGUUUAUGGAAGAGAAACUAUGCGGAGACUUUUUGCUUCCAAUAUCCUUGUUUCUGGGAUGCAAGGUAUCGGUGCAGAUAUUGAAAAAAAUCUUAUCCUUGCUGGUGUCAAAUCUGUGACAUUGCACGAUGAGGGAAAUGUUGAACUAUGGGACUUGUCCAGCAACUUUAUUUUCUCAGAGGAUGAUAUUGGAAAGAAUCGUGCAGUUGCUUCUGUAACGAAGCUUCAAGAACUGAAUAAUGUUGUUUUAUUUUCUGCUCUAUCAACCCCUUUGACUAUGGAUCAACUCUCUAAUUUCGAGCAAAGUUGUGAAGGAAGAGCAUACUGUGACUUGUCGUACCGCGACUACAAAGGUGUGUUUGUCCUGCAUAGAAUGUGAUGAACUUUUUAUUUACGGUAUCUUAGGAUGGGAAGGAGUUGUGCUUAUUUGGUUUCUGACAUUGAUUUCCUGUCAAGUUGAAUGAGAUGUUUCUUCCUGGUCGAAUGCCAAUCAGUUCAUAUAGAAUGUGAUGAACUUUUUAUUUACGGUAUCAAUGGAUUGUCAAGCCACAAACUACUGUCAAGUUGAAUGAGAUGUUUCUUCCUGGUCGAAUGUCAUUUAUCUUCAACAUGGUUCCCGAUAGUGGAUCAUGGAAUUACCACAUCAAUGGAGUGAAGCAUAACACUAACCUGACGUGUGGGAUAAAGCUGGGAUCGAUGGUGAUACUGAUAACAUCAGCUCGUUUGGUGGGAUAGCCUUGGCUUAUGAACUUAUAUGAACUGAUUGGCAUCUGAUUGUUGCUUUUCAAUAUUGUAAGUUUUGUAAGUUAUGAUGUAGGAAGUUUCUAUGAACUCAACAAGUUUUUUUAACUUAGAAUUUGAUUCUUACAAGAAUUUUGGCACUUAGAAGAAUUUAUUUUCUUCUUUGGUUG
This is an RNA transcript of Papaver somniferum (opium poppy), 1614 nucleotides long. It is a transcript of the gene named ubiquitin-activating enzyme E1 2-like, with no coding region annotated. The transcript has 7 exons. Lineage: Eukaryota; Viridiplantae; Streptophyta; Magnoliopsida; Ranunculales; Papaveraceae. The record is from RefSeq and is a predicted model, not a curated record.